This is a long non-coding RNA of Symphalangus syndactylus (siamang), 1418 nucleotides long. RefSeq lists it as uncharacterized. The record is from RefSeq and is a predicted model, not a curated record. NCBI's taxonomy places the organism in Eukaryota, Metazoa, Chordata, Mammalia, Primates, Hylobatidae.
GGCAAAGAAGCACCACUCUGACAUGGAAAAUAGUUUCCAUUUUCAGAUUAUUCUUUUUUAACUGGGUUUAACUUUAUAGUAGGGUUAAAUGUGGCAUUUGAAGGUUGGUGAGUAACAAGAUCUUUUAAAAGAUGGUGAAUUCCGACAAGAAAAGACCAAGGCAACUGACGCAUGAGACCGAGGUAUUUAUCUGACGGCGAUUGAAGUCACCAGCUUAACAGUUAGAUUUUCUGUUAUCCUGGGCCAAAAACAUCAUUAAGAAUGGCACAGACAUUUAGAGAAAUGAGUUGAUGACAGACCAUGAGAUCCCAGGGAGAGAGAAGGAGAUAAAGAGAGUAAUGUAGACUUUUUAAUUUUUUAUGAGGUGUUAAAGUCAAGCGACCACCAGAUCAGCCAGCUCAGAUAUAUUUGGAAACACAUCAAUCUAUUUUAAACUUAAGAUACUGAAAGCCCCAUUUGAACACACAGAAUCAAUAGUGGAAGCCAAUUAGGAAUACAGUUAAAUAGUGGAAAGAGCUUAAGCCAGAGAACUCCAGGUUCAAGAACCACCACCUGCAAACUUGGCAAAUUUGGACAAAUGUCUCUCUGAGUUUCAUUGUCUUCAUCCGCAAAUAAAGCAAGAUAUACUUCACCUACAGAAUUGCACAAUUAUGACCAGACCACGAGAGUAUGAAGGAUGAGGAAACGGGAGCAGUGAUGGAGCUGUUUUGGAGGGAGUCAUAAUUCCUUAGACCUCUAACAACUGGAACUCUCAAUCUGCCAGUAAUAGCUGACAUGAGCCCAAUAAGGAUGGUCUGUUCUAUUCAAAGGGACACCCUCUUUUUAAAGGACAUUCAAUUCAAAUGUAUCUUCUCUGGUUAAAGUAUGGUGAAGUCUGUCCUGUGGGCACUCUCCAUUGACUCCUAGCAGCUCUUGAGCCCCAUCUUCAGGAUCCAUACUUUGAUAGUCACUGACCAUUAGCUUUGAAAAUCUAUAGUUCCAAUCCUGUGAAACGAGAAGAAUGUUGAAGCUAUAAAGGAAGUCUUUGCCUGCAUUCAGAUUCUAACACCAAAGACUCCUCUGAUUAUACUGAAGUAUGUAAGAAAACCUUCUCUCGAAAUCAGGGACCAUUUCUCUUCAUCUUAUCUUCAGCUACAUCCCAAAUAUGAGUACACAUACGUAGGAUUCAAUAAAUAAUUUAAGAUAAUUGUGAACACCUUGCUCUGACUGGUUCUAUUUUUACAUUCAGAGAGGAAAGCAUCCUGUAUUCUCCCUAUAAACAAGUCUAGGAGGAUAGGGUCAUGGACAUCCUCUGUACACAGAAUUACAGUCCGAUGUUGGGUAUCUUACUCCUGUGAAGUGAAGGGAAAUACAAAAGUAAACAAAGAAAACCACAGUAUAAGAUGUCACCUUAAAAUAUAAACCUGAAGAUGAGAAAA